This is a non-coding RNA of Lupinus angustifolius (narrow-leaved blue lupine), 133 nucleotides long. The record is from Rfam. NCBI's taxonomy places the organism in Eukaryota, Viridiplantae, Streptophyta, Magnoliopsida, Fabales, Fabaceae.
UCGAGCCGUAUGAAGGGAAACUAUCACGUACAGUUUUUGUCUUUUUUUGGGGGGGGAGGAGCCCGACAGGGUCCCCCCACUGACUUGGCCCAGGCCUAAGUUAAAGUGAAGUGGUGGGCCUACCCAUCCCAAC